UGACCAACUCCCGCUUCGGCGGGGUCUUGGGCUUCGCCUCUGGGCGGGCCUUAAAAUCAGUGGCGGUGCCUACUUUGGCCCUACGCGUAGUAAUACUCCUCGCGAUAGGGACCGGUAGACGCUGGCCAGCAACCCCCAACUUUCUA
RNAcentral lists this unclassified non-coding RNA (146 nucleotides) under uncultured Hymenoscyphus. RNAcentral's name for it is "sequence contains ITS2". The record is from RNAcentral. Lineage: Eukaryota; Fungi; Ascomycota; Leotiomycetes; Helotiales; Helotiaceae.